This 455-nucleotide ribosomal RNA is filed under the name Vishniacozyma sp. Its description in RNAcentral is "partial large subunit ribosomal RNA". It matches the Rfam family "Eukaryotic large subunit ribosomal RNA", at positions 137 to 600 of the family's 3401-position model. Lineage: Eukaryota; Fungi; Basidiomycota; Tremellomycetes; Tremellales; Bulleribasidiaceae. The record is from RNAcentral.
UCCGAGUUGUAAUCUAUAGAGGCGUUUUCCGCGCCGGACCGCGUCCAAGUCUCUUGGAAUAGAGUAUCAAAGAGGGUGACAAUCCCGUACUUGACGCGACAACCGGUGCUCUGUGAUACGUUCUCAAUGAGUCGAGUUGUUUGGGAAUGCAGCUCUAAAUGGGUGGUAAAUUCCAUCUAAGGCUAAAUAUUGGCGAGAGACCGAUAGCGAACAAGUACCGUGAGGGAAAGAUGAAAAGCACUUUGGAAAGAGAGUUAAACAGCACGUGAAAUUGUUAAAAGGGAAACGAUUGAAGUCAGUCGUGUGAAAGGUAUUCAGCCGUCUCUGGCGGUGUAUUUGCCUUUCACGGGUCAACAUCAGUUUGAUCCGGUAGAAAAAGGCGGGAGGAAGGUGGCACCCUCGGGUGUGUUAUAGCCUCCUGUCAUAUGUCCCGGACCAGACUGAGGAACGCAGCU